RNAcentral lists this ribosomal RNA (253 nucleotides) under uncultured bacterium. Its description in RNAcentral is "partial 16S ribosomal RNA". It matches the Rfam family "Bacterial small subunit ribosomal RNA", at positions 524 to 776 of the family's 1533-position model. The record is from RNAcentral.
UACGUAGGGGGCUAGCGUUGUCCGGAUUUAUUGGGCGUAAAGAGCGUGUAGGCGGCUUGGCAAGUCUGGUGUGAAAUCUUGCGGCUCAACCGCAAGCGGUCACUGGAAACUGCCUCGCUAGAGUCCGGAAGAGGAGAGCGGAAUUCCUGGUGUAGCGGUGGAAUGCGUAGAUAUCAGAAGGAACGCCGGUGGCGAAAGCGACUCUCUGGCUCGUAUCUGACGCUGAGGCGCGAAAGCUUGGGUAGCAAACGUG